CUCUCUUUGGGGGUCCGAGUUGUAAUUUGCAGAGGAUGCUUUGGCAUUGGCGGCGGUCUAAGUUCCUUGGAACAGGACAUCACAGAGGGUGAGAAUCCCGUACGUGGUCGCCUGCCUUUGCCGUGUAAAGCUCCUUCGACGAGUCGAGUUGUUUGGGAAUGCAGCUCUAAAUGGGAGGUAAAUUUCUUCUAAAGCUAAAUACUGGCCAGAGACCGAUAGCGCACAAGUAGAGUGAUCGAAAGAUGAAAAGUACUUUGGAAAGAGAGUCAAAAAGCACGUGAAAUUGUUGAAAGGGAAGCGCUUGCAGCCAGACUUGCCCGCAGUUGCUCACCUAGGCUUUGGCCUGGGGCACUCUUCUGCGGGCAGGCCAGCAUCAGUUUGGGCGGUUGGAUAAAGGCCUCUGUCACGUAUCUCCCUUCGGGGUGACCUUAUAGGGGAGGCGCAAUGCAACCAGCCCGGACUGAGGUCCGCGCAUCUGCUAGGAUGCUGGCGUAAUGGCUGUAAGCGGCCCGUCUUGAAACACGGACCAAGGAGUCUAACAUCUAUGCGAGUGUUUGGGUGUCAAGCCCGAGCGCGCAAUGAAAGUGAACGGAGGUGGGAACCCUUUGGGUGCACCAUCGACCGAUCCUGAUGUCUUCGGAUGGAUUUGAGUAAGAGCAUAGCUGUUGGGACCCGAAAGAUGGUGAACUAUGCUUGAAUAGGGUGAAGCCAGAGGAAACUCUGGUGGAGGCUCGCAGCGGUUCUGACGUGC
RNAcentral lists this ribosomal RNA (751 nucleotides) under Paraphaeosphaeria sporulosa. RNAcentral's name for it is "partial large subunit ribosomal RNA". It matches the Rfam family "Eukaryotic large subunit ribosomal RNA", at positions 125 to 894 of the family's 3401-position model. Lineage: Eukaryota; Fungi; Ascomycota; Dothideomycetes; Pleosporales; Didymosphaeriaceae. The record is from RNAcentral.